UACGAAGGGGGCUAGCGUUGCUCGGAAUUACUGGGCGUAAAGCGCACGUAGGCGGCUCUUUAAGUCGGGGGUGAAAUCCUGGAGCUCAACUCCAGAACUGCCUUCGAUACUGUAGAGCUUGAGUUCGGGAGAGGUGAGUGGAACUGCGGGUGUAGAGGUGAAAUUCGUAGAUAUUCGCAAGAACACCAGUGGCGAAGGCGGCUCACUGGCCCGAUACUGACGCUGAGGUGCGAAAGCGUGGGGAGCAAACAGG
RNAcentral lists this ribosomal RNA (253 nucleotides) under uncultured bacterium. Its description in RNAcentral is "partial 16S ribosomal RNA". It matches the Rfam family "Bacterial small subunit ribosomal RNA", at positions 524 to 776 of the family's 1533-position model. The record is from RNAcentral.